CGAUGACAUUAGGGGAGCCCGUUUGCGGGCUGAGACGACAUGGUCGGACCCUUGAACUUGAUCUGGUUAACACCAGCGGAAGGAAAUGUUCAUGUACUUUC
The sequence is a regulatory RNA element, 101 nucleotides long. It matches the Rfam family "TPP riboswitch aptamer (THI element)". Rfam says of the family: Vitamin B(1) in its active form thiamin pyrophosphate (TPP) is an essential coenzyme that is synthesised by coupling of pyrimidine and thiazole moieties in bacteria. The previously detected thiamin-regulatory element, thi box was extended, resulting in a new, highly conserved RNA secondary structure, the THI element, which is widely distributed in eubacteria and also occurs in some archaea. The record is from Rfam.